GGUGGCUCAGUGGUAGAGCGCUUGCCUGGCAUUCAUGAGGCCCUGAGUUCCAUUCCUCAGCACCA
This is a non-coding RNA of Dipodomys ordii (Ord's kangaroo rat), 65 nucleotides long. The record is from Rfam. Lineage: Eukaryota; Metazoa; Chordata; Mammalia; Rodentia; Heteromyidae.